Molecule: ribosomal RNA, 1100 nt
Filed under: Latilactobacillus curvatus
Lineage: Bacteria; Bacillati; Bacillota; Bacilli; Lactobacillales; Lactobacillaceae
Description: bacterial SSU rRNA
Rfam family: Bacterial small subunit ribosomal RNA
Source: RNAcentral
CCCUAAGGGGGCCUAGAAUGCAAGUCGAACGCACUCUCGUUAGAUUGAAGAAGCUUGCUUCUGAUUGAUAACAUUUGAGUGAGUGGCGGACGGGUGAGUAACACGUGGGUAACCUGCCCUAAAGUGGGGGAUAACAUUUGGAAACAGAUGCUAAUACCGCAUAAAACCUAGCACCGCAUGGUGCAAGGUUGAAAGAUGGUUUCGGCUAUCACUUUAGGAUGGACCCGCGGUGCAUUAGUUAGUUGGUGAGGUAAAGGCUCACCAAGACCGUGAUGCAUAGCCGACCUGAGAGGGUAAUCGGCCACACUGGGACUGAGACACGGCCCAGACUCCUACGGGAGGCAGCAGUAGGGAAUCUUCCACAAUGGACGAAAGUCUGAUGGAGCAACGCCGCGUGAGUGAAGAAGGUUUUCGGAUCGUAAAACUCUGUUGUUGGAGAAGAACGUAUUUGAUAGUAACUGAUCAGGUAGUGACGGUAUCCAACCAGAAAGCCACGGCUAACUACGUGCCAGCAGCCGCGGUAAUACGUAGGUGGCAAGCGUUGUCCGGAUUUAUUGGGCGUAAAGCGAGCGCAGGCGGUUUCUUAAGUCUGAUGUGAAAGCCUUCGGCUCAACCGAAGAAGUGCAUCGGAAACUGGGAAACUUGAGUGCAGAAGAGGACAGUGGAACUCCAUGUGUAGCGGUGAAAUGCGUAGAUAUAUGGAAGAACACCAGUGGCGAAGGCGGCUGUCUGGUCUGUAACUGACGCUGAGGCUCGAAAGCAUGGGUAGCAAACAGGAUUAGAUACCCUGGUAGUCCAUGCCGUAAACGAUGAGUGCUAGGUGUUGGAGGGUUUCCGCCCUUCAGUGCCGCAGCUAACGCAUUAAGCACUCCGCCUGGGGAGUACGACCGCAAGGUUGAAACUCAAAGGAAUUGACGGGGGCCCGCACAAGCGGUGGAGCAUGUGGUUUAAUUCGAAGCAACGCGAAGAACCUUACCAGGUCUUGACAUCCUUUGACCACUCUAGAGAUAGAGCUUUCCCUUCGGGGACAAAGUGACAGGUGGUGCAUGGUUGUCGUCAGCUCGUGUCGUGAGAUGUUGGGUUAAGUCCCGCAACGAGCG